AUCGCUUCUCGGCCUUUUGGCUAAGAUCAAGUGUAGUAUCUGUUCUUAUCAGUUUAAUAUCUGAUACGUCCCCUAUCUGGGGACCAUAUAUUAAAUGGAUUUUUGGGACAGGGAGAUGGAAGAAGAGCUUGCUCUGUCCACUCCACGCAUUGACCUGGUAUUGCAGUACCUCCAGGACCGGUGCACCUCUC
Molecule: small nuclear RNA, 191 nt
Filed under: Pelobates cultripes (western spadefoot toad)
Lineage: Eukaryota; Metazoa; Chordata; Amphibia; Anura; Pelobatidae
Rfam family: U2 spliceosomal RNA
About the family: U2 is a small nuclear RNA (snRNA) component of the spliceosome (involved in pre-mRNA splicing). Complementary binding between U2 snRNA (in an area lying towards the 5' end but 3' to hairpin I) and the branchpoint sequence (BPS) of the intron results the bulging out of an unpaired adenosine, on the BPS, which initiates a nucleophilic attack at the intronic 5' splice site, thus starting the first of two transesterification reactions that mediate splicing.
Source: RNAcentral